This 267-nucleotide long non-coding RNA is filed under the name Ananas comosus (pineapple). RNAcentral describes it as "long non-coding RNA (ACOM_LNC003660)". The record is from RNAcentral. Lineage: Eukaryota; Viridiplantae; Streptophyta; Magnoliopsida; Poales; Bromeliaceae.
GAUUUCGGCAUUUUCGAUCUAAUUAAGCUUUGGUCUUUUGAGAGAUCUUCUUUGUACUCCGCCUUUUGAUAUUAAUAAAGUAUUUGCUCUGUCUUCGCCCGUGGACGUAGGCCGUUGGCCGAACCACGUAAAUUUCGGUGUGCUCUUUCCCUUUAUCUUUUCUUUUCCUACAUUAAGUUAUUUUCUGGAUCUAUUUUUUGCCGUUCCAUUUUUAACAAUCAUCAACGUUUUACCCGCUGCCUCCCAUUGGGUUUUAAUUGUAUCUUG